ACAGCGAGCGCCUGACUCUGAAGCUUG
Molecule: non-coding RNA, 27 nt
Filed under: Cricetulus griseus (Chinese hamster)
Lineage: Eukaryota; Metazoa; Chordata; Mammalia; Rodentia; Cricetidae
Source: RNAcentral